RNAcentral lists this unclassified non-coding RNA (21 nucleotides) under Mus musculus (house mouse). Its description in RNAcentral is "oocyte_clustered_small_RNA8753". The record is from RNAcentral. Lineage: Eukaryota; Metazoa; Chordata; Mammalia; Rodentia; Muridae.
CGGAUGAUGAGCGCCUGGGCC